GCCAGGACAGCUCAGUUGGUUAGAGCAUGGUGCUGAUAAUGCCAAGGUUGCAGCUUUGAUCCAGCUGCAUAUUCCUGCAUUGCA
RNAcentral lists this transfer RNA (84 nucleotides) under Podarcis lilfordi (Lilford's wall lizard). Its description in RNAcentral is "tRNA.Ile". Lineage: Eukaryota; Metazoa; Chordata; Lepidosauria; Squamata; Lacertidae. The record is from RNAcentral.